This 772-nucleotide ribosomal RNA is filed under the name uncultured Neocallimastigales. RNAcentral's name for it is "partial large subunit ribosomal RNA". It matches the Rfam family "Eukaryotic large subunit ribosomal RNA", at positions 26 to 614 of the family's 3401-position model. The record is from RNAcentral. Lineage: Eukaryota; Fungi; Neocallimastigomycota; Neocallimastigomycetes; Neocallimastigales.
CGCAUCUGUGCAUGCAGCAUAUCAAUAAGCGGAGGAAAAGAAACUAACAAGGAUUCCCCUAGUAACGGCGAGUGAAGCGGGAAGAGCUCAAAUUUGAAAUCUUAAAGGGUUUCCCUUUACGAAUUGUAGUUUAAAGAAGUGUUUUCUGUUGAGGUUUUGGUAAAAGUUCUUUGGAAUAGGACAUCAUAGAGGGUGAGAAUCCCGUAUUUGACCUUUACUUCAACUUUGUGAUACACUUUCAAAGAGUCGGAUUGUUUGGGAAUGCAGUCCAAAAUGGGUGGUAAAUUUCAUCUAAAGCUAAUAUUGGCGAGAGACCGAUAGCGAACAAGUACCGUGAGGGAAAGAUGAAAAGAACUUUGAAAAGAGAGUUAAACAGUACGUGAAAUUGUCAAAAGGGAAGCGUUUGACACCAGUGUUGUUUUUCUGAAAAUCAAUUAAAGAACUGUUUAUGCUAAGCUGUUUAGACUUUAUCAGCUAACUGUUUAGUUUUGAGCUUUUCUUUAAUGCACUUUUCAGUUAACAAGUCAACAUCAAUUUCUUUUGCUGUAAAAAAGCUUGAGGAAGGUGGCUUGAGAUUCGUCUUAAGUGUUUAUAGCCUCUUGCCUAUGCAGUCGGAGAGAUUGAGGUCUGCAGCGUAGAUCCUUCGGGGCUAAAUGCAUUUGUGCUAAGUUAUAGCAUUUUAUAGACAACUUGUUGACUAUGAUUUGUCUUGUAGCUUACUCGCUUAUGUUAUUUUACCUACGCUUAGGAUGUUGAGUCAUCACACAUCUCU